AAUCUUGCGUGUUCUUCACAUGUACCCCAAAACCUAAAAUGCAAUUAAAAGAAAAAAGAAAAAAAAAGUCUACACUCACUUUGAGGAGUUAGUAUCCAACAUGCAUCAAUCUUUAAAUUUGACGACUGUCAUGAAGUCAAGCCUCAGGCGACUACAUGCCCUUGUCUUAUUUCAAAAAACAUUCCACCCCUAUCUCAAUGAUAAGUUAAAAUUAGAAGCAUAACAAAUUUUAUGCCUGUCAUUUGGGGAUCUCCAGCUAUGAUAAGGCAGUGUCGUAAAGGAUGAAUUUUAGGAUAAAUGUUUGGUGUCCGACAUAGCCCCCUACUGAGGAGCCCUGGCUUGGGAGGGGACCAUGGUGUAGCUCUGACAGCUACAGAAGUGUAACCUCUGAGCCAGCAGGGAGCAAUUCAGCAUCGAGGUACCCCCCAACACACACACACACACACACACACACACACACACACACACAGCUCUGCGUCCCAUAUAUUCCCCCACCCAGCCUGCAUUCCCAGCUGGAGAAGGCAAGAGUGAGUCACCUGUCCCUCCUCAUUGCCCAGCUGAGCUGUUGGAGCAGCUACAACCACAGGAACACUCCCGAGAAAGGAGUGUAAUACCUGUGUCCUCAGGGAGGGCUUGGAGGGGUAAAGAAGGAGCCUGGGCAAGGACAGCUCAAUGGAUCUUUGCUUCAAGGACACACCAACACGAUUCAGGAAGUCCAGUGACUGAUCCCUGGACAGCAGGCAGCAGGAAUGACUCCAAACAUACUUUAAAACCAUGGUUUAUAGUCACAGAAAUUUUAUCAAAAAAAAACUUCCUGGAAUUCAAACAUCCAAAAGUGGAUCCAGCUUCAGGCAAAUCUGGACGCUGGGAGCCUGGCAGUGUCAUCAGUCGUUAAGAAGUCCAGAACCAGGGGGAGGACUCAAGAUGGCGCUGUGAGAACAACCCAGGAUUGGAGCUCUCGUUGAAUCCGCAAAGAGGUGAGUCCGAGCUGUAUUUCCAGACUGAUCUUUGUUGCCCACAGAACGGGGAAACUCCCAAGUAUAAAAAAGACACGGGACGCCAGGCAGUAAGUGCCUGGCGAAGCCGGCAGCCGGGGCGAGGCGGCGGCCGGCCCUACCCAGCAAUCCCCACAGGGCGCACUUGUCCAGGUGCCCUGUUGAACUGGCAACCUGAGACUUGAGAGGGCUGGACUUGAGACU
RNAcentral lists this long non-coding RNA (1199 nucleotides) under Callithrix jacchus (white-tufted-ear marmoset). RNAcentral describes it as "lncRNA (ENSCJAG00000078590.1)". Lineage: Eukaryota; Metazoa; Chordata; Mammalia; Primates; Cebidae. The record is from RNAcentral.